CUCUCUCUCAAACCAGCCGCCAAUAAUAUUUUCCGAUCUGAGAUCGGUAGCCGGUGGCUCCUCCAGCACCGGUGUCGGUCUCCUCUUUGCUUUAUGUCUAGCCUUUCUCUGUUAGUAGUUUGUAAUGGUGAUGGUGUCUCUGUUGUAGUUUGUUUUGGCCCUUCGAUUGGAGUGUCGUGGGUUUGUUUCGGAUUGUGAAUUUGUGGUCUCUUCGGUUGCGGUUUUGAGGGCUAGAUCGACGGCGUGGUUCUUGUGAAGAUGAUGAUGCCGGAUCUGUUUGAUCCACAGGUUUGUUUCGUCUAAUAAUCUGUUAUCUUUGCUUUUCUCGACCUAGAUCUAGAGCUGCUCUGGUGCUUUUUAUCGUCUCUAUGCCGCCGUGUUGGUUUGGCUUCGUCCAGACUUUGUUUUUCCGGUGGCCAUGUUUCCUCCUGUUUCAACCAUCGGUCCUUAUCUUGCUUGUGUCCUGUCUUUUGGGCUUCUUUGUUUUGCCUGAAGUUGUUGCUAGGGUCUUCAAGUUCUCCUCUUCUUGGUGGUUUUGUUGUGUUUGUUAACUGGUUCGAUUUGAUGGCACUCUCUUUCUCGAGGCGGGUUUUUUCGAGUGGUUAGGCUUCUGUCCUUGUCUUUGCUUUGCAGAUCCGGUUGUGAUCUGAAGCUUAUUGAAGACUUUUAUCUAGACGUAACAUUGGCGCAUCUUUUAUCGUCGUCGUCGCAUCCGGAAGUGUGGUUUGAGGUUCUUCUAGUGUCUUUGCUUGCCG
RNAcentral lists this small RNA (755 nucleotides) under Arabidopsis thaliana (thale cress). RNAcentral's name for it is "putative long intergenic non-coding RNA". The record is from RNAcentral. Lineage: Eukaryota; Viridiplantae; Streptophyta; Magnoliopsida; Brassicales; Brassicaceae.